GGGCGUAAAGGGCUCGUAGGUGGUUGAUCGCGUCGGAAGUGUAAUCUUGGGGCUUAACCCUGAGCGUGCUUUCGAUACGGGUUGACUUGAGGAAGGUAGGGGAGAAUGGAAUUCCUGGUGGAGCGGUGGAAUGCGCAGAUAUCAGGAGGAACACCAGUGGCGAAGGCGGUUCUCUGGGCCUUUCCUGACGCUGAGGAGCGAAAGCGUGGGGAGCGAACAGGCUUAGAUACCCUGGUAGUCCACGCUGUAAACGGUGGGUACUAGGUGUGGGGUCCAUUCCACGGGUUCCGUGCCGUAGCUAACGCUUUAAGUACCCCGCCUGGGGAGUACGGCCGCAAGGCUAAAACUCAAAGGAAUUGACGGGGCCCCGCACAAGCGGCGGAGCAUGCGGAUUAAUUCGAUGCAACGUGUAGAACCUUACCUGGGUUUGACAUGGAUCGGGAGUGCUCAGAGAUGGGUGUGCCUCUUUUGGGGUCGGUUCACAGGUGGUGCAUGGCUGUCGUCAGCUCGUGUCGUGAGAUGUUGGGUUAAGUCCCGCAACGAGCGCAACCCUUGUUCACUGUUGCCAGCACGUUAUGGUGGGGACUCAGUGGAGACCGCCGGGGUCAACUCGGAGGAAGGU
RNAcentral lists this ribosomal RNA (622 nucleotides) under uncultured Actinomycetes bacterium. RNAcentral describes it as "bacterial SSU rRNA". It matches the Rfam family "Bacterial small subunit ribosomal RNA", at positions 556 to 1174 of the family's 1533-position model. The record is from RNAcentral. Lineage: Bacteria; Bacillati; Actinomycetota; Actinomycetes.